AAUCAACGCUGGCGGCGUGCCUAACACAUGCAAGUCGAACGANAAAGGGGACUUCGGUCCCUGAGUACAGUGGCGCACGGGGUGAGUAACACGUGACUUAUCUACCCUCGAGUGGGGAAUAACUUCGGGAAACCGAGGCUAAUACCGCAUAAUACCCACGGGUCAAAGGAGCAAUUCGCUUGAGGAGGAGGUCGCGGCCCGAUUAGUUAGUUGGCGGGGUAAUGGCCCCCACCAAGACGGUGAACGGUAUCCGGCCUGAGAGGGCGCACGGACACACUGGAACUGAAACACGGUCCAGACUCCUACGGGAGGCAGCAGUGGGGAAUUUUGCGCAAUGGGGGAAACCCUGACGCAGCAACGCCGCGUGGAGGAUGAAGUCUCUUGGGACGUAAACUCCUUUCGAUCGGGACGAUUAUGACGGUACCGGAAGAAGAAGCCCCGGCUAACUCGUG
Molecule: ribosomal RNA, 452 nt
Filed under: uncultured bacterium
Lineage: Bacteria
Description: bacterial SSU rRNA
Rfam family: Bacterial small subunit ribosomal RNA
Source: RNAcentral